GAUGAACGCUGGCGGCGUGCCUAAUACAUGCAAGUCGAGCGGGUGUAGCAAUACAUCAGCGGCGAACGGGUGAGUAACACGUGGGUAACCUGCCUCUCAGUCUGGGAUACCCCGAGGGAAACCUCGGCUAAUACCGGAUACUUCUCUUGAAGGCAUCUUCGAGAGAUAAAAACGGCUUCACAGCCGCGCUGAGAGAUGGACCUGCGGCGCAUUAGCUAGUUGGUGAGAUAAUAGCCCACCAAGGCGAGGAUGCGUAGCCGACCUGAGAGGGUGAUCGGCCACAAUGGAACUGAGAAACGGUCCAUACUCCUACGGGAGGCAGCAGUAGGGAGUUUUCGGCAAGUGGGGGAACCCUGACCGAGCAACGCCGCGUGAGUGA
Molecule: ribosomal RNA, 379 nt
Filed under: uncultured bacterium
Lineage: Bacteria
Description: bacterial SSU rRNA
Rfam family: Bacterial small subunit ribosomal RNA
Source: RNAcentral